CGCGGCUCCUCAUGCGGCGUCACCUCGCAAAACUCCCCCAGGGCUGGAAGGCAGCAAGGGUAUGCGGGCUCUGGCGGGUGCGUGGGGAGUCCUUUGU
Molecule: non-coding RNA, 97 nt
Organism: Actinomyces sp. oral taxon 848
Lineage: Bacteria; Bacillati; Actinomycetota; Actinomycetes; Actinomycetales; Actinomycetaceae
Source: Rfam